This is a long non-coding RNA of Schistocerca piceifrons (Central American locust), 2690 nucleotides long. RefSeq lists it as uncharacterized. The transcript is spliced from 3 exons. Lineage: Eukaryota; Metazoa; Arthropoda; Insecta; Orthoptera; Acrididae. The record is from RefSeq and is a predicted model, not a curated record.
AUAAAUACCACUUGUGAAGAUGACCAUCUCUAUAAUGGGCUUUCACGAAACAUUGUUACAUUCUCAUGAAAUACAGUGUAGUGCCUCAAGAAUUUUGAUGUAAAUUCUAGAAACACUCAGCCUUCAACCGUCUCGAACACCCGAUAUUUUAAGUAUGAGGGUGAGAGAGUGGAGAUUCGUCUACCUUGCCAUCAAUUUCUAUGUGUGCAGGAUGGACGUGUAUCGGGAGAAUAUUGCAAUAGUGACGGUUGAUCGGCAUGGACAAGUGUUUGCAGCGUGUGCCAUAGAAGCUGUAUGUCAGUACAAGUAGCAAGAACGCUCAAUUCCUUGAUGGUCUAAUGACUGUAUUGUUGUGAACAAGUGAAUUAUGUAUUGAACAAAAGACAUUUACAUUUGAUUUUCCGGUGUUGGACUUGCGAGAAGUAAGAACCGGUUUUGUAGUGGUUAUUAAACCAUACAUAUUGUAAUUGUAUCUGUUAGUAUUUAAUGGUCAAAGACGGGGUUCACUUGCGAGAGUUGAAUACUUGUUUGAAACUUGUGAAGUUGUUUUGUUGUGGAGAUGAAAAUGUAACAGAGUUGAACAAAAGUAUCCUGAGAGUACAGAAUCAUUUCAAGAGUAGAAAAGAAGUCUAUUUUGAAAUUCCCUUAACCAGCUAUAGUCUUUGGAGAAGAACAGUUUGUGAAGAUCGAUGCAGCCGCCUGACCCAAGAAGAAGAUCGACUGCACAAAAUAUGUGACUCAACUGCGAGAGACAUGUGAGUCUUACAUCCCAGUACCACACUGUCUCCUGUUGUCAGAAAACUGUUAGAAUGUGGUGACCUAAGUGACGGGAUCCUGAAGAAAGUGGGAAUUUAAAGACAGAAACAGAAAGAAGAUAUUAGGUGUUGCCAUAGGAACCAAGGCUAACAACAUACGAGAACUGUUGCCAGUAAUCGUAUUGAGUCCAAUAAACAAAUGGAAGAAAGUUGCGAGUGCAACACUGUAAAAGAUGUGAGAAAGUAAUAGUGGAGAAAACUGGAGUGAAGACCUCAACUUUUUGACUAAGAUCAGGUGUGGAGAGUAAGCAGUCUUCACACACGUACAUCACGCCAAUGCCGACACAGUAACCAGCCGCCGACACUGACUGCACCAGCUGCAGCUCACUGGUGCUGACUCCGCGUCCGCUCGCUGACGACGACGCUGAAACCAACGUCCAAUGCCACCGGCGCCAGUGCUGUCCUCCGGUGCUGAUUACAUAUCUGCUCACCAACGCAGCUAAAACUCUAUACCAGCGUCACUUACUCGGCGGCCAACAUAUACUGCACAGGCAGGGGCACCAAGAAGGGGAUUGACCUGUACCAUAGGAGGACAGGAAUAAGAAAGGGGCAUACCUACCAAAACGGAAGAAGAAAGGAUACUGCUAGGAUCAACCCAUGUAAAAUAUAGGUACUGUUCCCAAAGGGAAAAAGGGCAGUAUCGUGACAGAUGUCACACUUUUAAAGGGAUGAGUCUGGAUGGGCGUGUAUCAGGAGAAUACUGCAAUAGUGACAGUCGAUCGGUGCGGACAAGUGUUGGCAGUACACGCCAUAGAAGCUGUAUGUCCAGUACAAGGAGCAAGCACACUCUAUUCCUUGAUGGUGUGAACAAAUGAAUUAUGUAUUGAACAAAAGACAUUUACAUUUGAUUUUCUGGUGUUGGACUUGCGAGAAGCAAGAACUGGUUUUGUAGUGGUUAUUAAACCACACAUAUUGUAAUUGUAUUUAUUAGUAUCUAAUGGUCCAAGACAGGGUUGUCUCGCGAGAGUUGAAUGCUUGUGUGAAACUUGUGAAGUUGUUUUAUUGUGGAGAUGAAAAUAUAACAGAGUUGAACAAAAGUAUCUUGAGAGUACAGAAUCAUUUCAAGAGUAGAAAAGAAGUCUAUUUUGAAAUUCCCUUAACCAGCUGUAGUCUUCAGAGAAGAAGAGUUUGUGAAAACUGACGUAGCCGUCUGACCCAAGAAGAAGAUCGACUGCACAAAAUAUGUGAGUCAACUGCGAGAGACGUGUGAGUCUUGCAACCCAAUACCACACUGUCUCCUGUCGUCCAAAAACUGUUAGGAUGCCAAGCUGUACUAGGUGUGCAGUCUUAGGUUGGUAUGACCUGGCGUGAGGCGGUAAAUAUUUCUCCUCAAGGAGCUCUGUAACAUGAUAAUUUUCAUCCUCUUCCUCAUGCAGGACAACCCUGAGCCGAGUUACUUCCUUGUUGGCAACAAGCUGUCGAUUUCGUGCCUGUAGUUCUCUGUUUCCAAAGACUGCCAACUUUUGUGUUUUAACCAAUGCUGUGUUUCAAGUUUUAUUUGCCAUAAUUUUAUAAUGAUCAUCAAUAAUAAGUCUCACAUUAGAGCCAGAUAUCUUUUUAACAUGAUUUCAUGAAAGGCUUUUGCGUCUGUGUUUUAUUUAUGCCACUGGACAUGACUGGAAUGAAGAGGGAAACCUGUGUGUGCAUUUGUGUGUAUCAGCACUUGGCCAUAUGUUAGUGAUUGAUGCUCUGUAUGCUAUGGAGAGACAAGUAGAGGUAAUUACUCUUAGAGUCAAAAACAAUUAAUUAUUUAAGACUUUUUUUUAAAUAGGCAAAAUUUAAAUUGCUUUCAUUUCAUAUUUUGAACAAUAUAAAGAGAAUGACAGUAAGAGCAAUUUAUUUCUUUUCACCUGUUGUGUUGCCUGUGCUUUCCUA